This 792-nucleotide ribosomal RNA is filed under the name TM7 phylum sp. oral taxon 352. Its description in RNAcentral is "bacterial SSU rRNA". It matches the Rfam family "Bacterial small subunit ribosomal RNA", at positions 714 to 1533 of the family's 1533-position model. The record is from RNAcentral. Lineage: Bacteria; Candidatus Saccharimonadota.
GGCGUAGGCAGGUUACUGGGCCAUUUCUGACGCUAAGGCACGAAAGCGUGGGGAGCGAACCGGAUUAGAUACCCGGGUAGUCCACGCCGUAAACGAUGGAUACUAGCUGUUGGAGGUAUCGACCCCUUCAGUAGCGAAGCUAACGCGUUAAGUAUCCCGCCUGUGGAGUACGGCCGCAAGGCUAAAACAUAAAGGAAUUGACGGGGACCCGCACAAGCGGUGGAUUAUGUUCUUUAAUUCGAUGAUAACCGAAGAACCUUACCAGGGCUUGACAUCCAGGGAAGGUCUGCGAAAGUAGACUGUGCCUUUUGGAACCCUGUGACAGGUGAUGCAUGGCCGUCGUCAGCUCGUGUCGUGAGAUGUUAGGUUAAGUCCUUCAACGAGCGCAACCCUUGUGAAUAGUUGUAUUUUUCUAUUCAGACUGCCCCGGUAACGGGGAGGAAGGAGGGGAUGAUGUCAGGUCAGUAUUUCCCUUACGUCCUGGGCUAGAAACGUAAUACAAUGGCUAGUACAAUGCGCAGCGAAGCCGCGAGGUGAAGCAAAUCGCAUCAAAGCUAGUCCCAGUUCGGAUUGUAGGCUGAAACUCGCCUGCAUGAAGUCGGAAUCGCUAGUAAUCGCAAAUCAGCAAGUUGCGGUGAAUACGUUCCCGGGUCUUGUACACACCGCCCGUCAAACCAUGAAAGUGACCAACACCCGAAGUCCGAUUCGUCGGCCUAAGGUGGGGGGCAUGAUUGGGGUUAAGUCGUAACAAGGUAUCCGUACCGGAAGGUGCGGAUGGAUUACCUCCUUUCU